GACGAACGCUGGCGGCGUGCUUAACACAUGCAAGUCGAACGGAAAGGCCCUGCUUUUGUUGGGUGCUCGAGUGGCGAACGGGUGAGUAACACGUGAGUAACCUGCCCUUGACUUUGGGAUAACUUCAGGAAACUGGGGCUAAUACCGGAUAGGAGCUCCUGCUGCAUGGUGGGGGUUGGAAAGUUUCGGCGGUUGGGGAUGGACUCGCGGCUUAUCAGCUUGUUGGUGGGGUAGUGGCUUACCAAGGCUUUGACGGGUAGCCGGCCUGAGAGGGUGACCGGCCACAUUGGGACUGAGAGACGGCCCAGACUCCUACGGGAGUCAGCAGUGGGGAAUAUUGCACAAUGGGCGGAAGCCUGAUGCAGCAACGCCGCGUGCGGGAUGACGGCCUUCGGGUUGUAAACCGCUUUCGCCUGUGACGAAGCGUGAGUGACGGUAAUGGGUAAAGAAGCACCGGCUAACUACGUG
RNAcentral lists this ribosomal RNA (468 nucleotides) under uncultured bacterium. Its description in RNAcentral is "partial 16S ribosomal RNA". It matches the Rfam family "Bacterial small subunit ribosomal RNA", at positions 28 to 507 of the family's 1533-position model. The record is from RNAcentral.